Molecule: long non-coding RNA, 506 nt
Organism: Anastrepha ludens (Mexican fruit fly)
Lineage: Eukaryota; Metazoa; Arthropoda; Insecta; Diptera; Tephritidae
Exons: 3
Source: RefSeq, a predicted model, not a curated record
AUAAUAAAGAACACUUCAGGCAAUUUGCCUGAAGUAUUUAAAAAAAACUAAAAUAAUAAUAAUUAGUUUAAUUUGUAUCUUGGUAUGAUAGAUGCAUAUGCUGCGGAAAGCGAUGAAAUAUUGAAGUCAACCAGCAGUGGACUUGAGCUAUUGUCCAUGCAGUGAAGCAAGAAAACAGUACCGGUUAUGGAUUUCACUAGUCCCGAUACGUUUGAAUAGAACGCAAGUUCUUUGGUGUACGGCAGCUUCAAUUGGGGGUUACAUUACAAAUGGAUCACUUUGCCAAGAGGCACUUUGAAGGAAGUUGAACAUUUUAAAUGAAAUUAACUAAUUUCAUGUAAACCAAUUUAUAUACAUACAUAUACCUAUAUGUGUUCUCCUUAUAGCCACGUAUCUAUGUUAUAUCAUUAUAACGUUAGCUUUGUGUAGUACACAACGCAGAGAACGUAAAUUCAUAGAGAAGGCUCAGGAAUGAAUGAGCCGGUUAAAUGUCAAAUGCUAACAAA